AAAAUCCGUUGAUUUUAAAAAUCGUGAGGGUUCAA
RNAcentral lists this transfer RNA (35 nucleotides) under Thylacospermum caespitosum. RNAcentral's name for it is "partial tRNA-Leu". Lineage: Eukaryota; Viridiplantae; Streptophyta; Magnoliopsida; Caryophyllales; Caryophyllaceae. The record is from RNAcentral.